AUGGCUCAGGACGAACGCUGGCGGCGUGCCUAAUACAUGCAAGUCGAACGCGUCUUGGUCAAUGAUUUUAGGUGCUUGCACUUGACUGAUUUGACAUUGAGACGAGUGGCGAACUGGUGAGUAACACGUGGGUAACCUGCCCUUGAAGUAGAGGAUAACACUUGGAAACAGGUGCUAAUACUGCAUAACAACGAAAACCGCCUGGUUUUCGUUUGAAAGAUGGCUUCGGCUAUCGCUUUAGGAUGGACCCGCGGCGUAUUAGCUAGUUGGUGAGGUAACGGCUCACCAAGGCAAUGAUACGUAGCCGACCUGAGAGGGUAAUCGGCCACAUUGGGACUGAGACACGGCCCAAACUCCUACGGGAGGCAGCAGUAGGGAAUCUUCCACAAUGGACGAAAGUCUGAUGGAGCAACGCCGCGUGAGUGAUGAAGGGUUUCGGCUCGUAAAACUCUGUUGUUGGAGAAGAACGGGUGUCAGAGUAACUGUUGACAUCGUGACGGUAUCCAACCAGAAAGCCACGGCUAACUACGUGCCAGCAGCCGCGGUAAUACGUAGGUGGCAAGCGUUGUCCGGAUUUAUUGGGCGUAAAGCGAGCGCAGGCGGUUUUUUAGGUCUGAUGUGAAAGCCUUCGGCUUAACCGGAGAAGUGCAUCGGAAACCGGGAGACUUGAGUGCAGAAGAGGACAGUGGAACUCCAUGUGUAGCGGUGAAAUGCGUAGAUAUAUGGAAGAACACCAGUGGCGAAGGCGGCUGUCUGGUCUGCAACUGACGCUGAGGCUCGAAGAGCAUGGGUAGCGAACAGGAUUAGAUACCC
Molecule: ribosomal RNA, 813 nt
Filed under: Lentilactobacillus diolivorans
Lineage: Bacteria; Bacillati; Bacillota; Bacilli; Lactobacillales; Lactobacillaceae
Description: bacterial SSU rRNA
Rfam family: Bacterial small subunit ribosomal RNA
Source: RNAcentral